Long non-coding RNA from Cucumis sativus (cucumber), 973 nucleotides. RefSeq lists it as uncharacterized. NCBI's taxonomy places the organism in Eukaryota, Viridiplantae, Streptophyta, Magnoliopsida, Cucurbitales, Cucurbitaceae. The transcript has 2 exons. The record is from RefSeq and is a predicted model, not a curated record.
UUAAAAGGUUGCCCAAAAUUUCACAACUCUCUUUCCCUCUUCACAUUCCCCUCUCAAAUUUCAGAAACCCCCUUUUGCAAAUUGCCCUAGCCACUCUCUCCUCUCGUUGCCAUCUCUCCCUAUCUCUCCCUAUCUCUCCAUCACUUUCUUUCGCUCACCAUCUCUCUCUUUUGUUAUCUAUCAGGCCACGAUCGAUAUGUUGCGCACUUGUACGCCGACGAAGAACCCACCUCUGUUGUCGAUACCCCGACAACGCUAAACCCUAACAUCUGUGGUGAAACCAUGCUUUCUUCGCUAGUGCUUAGCUUUUUCUUAACGCUGAAAGUUCAACCCCAAUGCCGAUAUGUUGUGGGUAUGUUUUGGUGAUAAAUUUGAGUUGUUCGAAAGAUUAUAUUAUUGUCCAGCCAACAAGAUGUGGAAUUUAGGCGUCUUGAGCACAUUUUGGGCGAGAAUCCAAGCAUUUUGAGUUAGUUUUGAGUACCUUUUGAGUUUUUGUACUAAUUUUGAUGAACUCAUGAUAUUGGAUGGUGGAUUUUGAUUUUAAGAAGUGAUUAGGGUGCUGUUCAUUGAAGUUGAGGUUAUUUUUCCAUUCGAUAACUCACACCGCCGCAAGGUUAUGUUUGGGAGGUUUGUUCUUCUUUCUCAAAACUCAUUUCUUUUUGCAAUAUAUAAAUAUAUUUGUUCUCUGUUCAUUUUCUCUAUGCAGAUGACAUUAGAACGCAUAGUAAAGGACUCUGUCGUUCAUGCUAUCAAGGUGAUUUUACAAACUAUCCAAACUUUGGAAAACAUUCGAGAGUUUUGCUAUGCUAUGGAUUUGAUUAUAGGUUAGGAUUUAAUUAUACCAAGUAUGAAAUAUCCCAAUUGGGAGAUGAACCGUAUGAUGUAGAUGAAGAAGAAUUGAUUUCUAAUUGUAUGACUUUAUAAUUUUCUAAUUAAGAGGAAGUUUAGUUCAAAUUCCCAUUAAUCAGUAAUC